Molecule: microRNA precursor, 65 nt
Organism: Astatotilapia calliptera (eastern happy)
Lineage: Eukaryota; Metazoa; Chordata; Actinopteri; Cichliformes; Cichlidae
Source: Ensembl
UGAUAUGUUUGAUAUUCGGUUGUUCUUGUGCUUUAUAAUGUCAACUAAAUAUCAGACAUAUUCCU